GGGGAAGUGUCGGAAUUGGCAGACGAGCGUGACUUAGGAUCACGUGGAGUAAUCCGUGCGAGUUCAAAUCUCGCCUUCCCCA
This 82-nucleotide transfer RNA is filed under the name Anaerolineae bacterium. RNAcentral's name for it is "tRNA-Leu". It matches the Rfam family "tRNA". Rfam says of the family: Transfer RNA (tRNA) molecules are approximately 80 nucleotides in length. Their secondary structure includes four short double-helical elements and three loops (D, anti-codon, and T loops). Further hydrogen bonds mediate the characteristic L-shaped molecular structure. tRNAs have two regions of fundamental functional importance: the anti-codon, which is responsible for specific mRNA codon recognition, and the 3' end, to which the tRNAs corresponding amino acid is attached (by aminoacyl-tRNA synthetases). tRNAs cope with the degeneracy of the genetic code in two manners: having more than one tRNA (with a specific anti-codon) for a particular amino acid; and 'wobble' base-pairing, i.e. permitting non-standard base-pairing at the 3rd anti-codon position. Lineage: Bacteria; Bacillati; Chloroflexota; Anaerolineae. The record is from RNAcentral.